CCCUUAGAUGUUCUGGGCCGCACGCGCGCUACACUGAUGCAUUCAACGAGCCUAUCCUGACCGACAGGUCCGGGUAAUCUUUGAAUCUGCAUCGUGACGGGGAUAGAUUAUUGCAAUUAUUAAUCUUCAACGAGGAAUGCCUAGUAGGCGCAAGUCAUCAGCUUGCGUCGAUUACGUCCCUGCCCUUUGUACACACCGCCCGUCGCUCCUACCGAUUGGGUGUGCUGGUGAAAUGUUCGGAUCGGCCGUUUGUCGCGGUUUCCGCGUCAUGUGGCUGAGAAGUUCAUUAAACCCUCCCACCUAGAGGAAGGAGAAGUCGUAACA
RNAcentral lists this ribosomal RNA (324 nucleotides) under uncultured eukaryote. RNAcentral's name for it is "partial 18S ribosomal RNA". It matches the Rfam family "Eukaryotic small subunit ribosomal RNA", at positions 1470 to 1796 of the family's 1831-position model. The record is from RNAcentral.